UAGGGAAUCUUCGGCAAUGGACGAAAGUCUGACCGAGCAACGCCGCGUGAGUGAAGAAGGUUUUCGGAUCGUAAAACUCUGUUGUUAGAGAAGAACAAGGACGUUAGUAACUGAACGUCCCCUGACGGUAUCUAACCAGAAAGCCACGGCUAACUACGUGCCAGCAGCCGCGGUAAUACGUAGGUGGCAAGCGUUGUCCGGAUUUAUUGGGCGUAAAGCGAGCGCAGGCGGUUUCUUAAGUCUGAUGUGAAAGCCCCCGGCUCAACCGGGGAAGGUCAUUGGAAACUGGGAGACUUGAGUGCAGAAGAGGAGAGUGGAAUUCCAUGUGUAGCGGUGAAAUGCGUAGAUAUAUGGAGGAACACCAGUGGCGAAGUCGGCUCUCUGGUCUGUAACUGACGCUGAGGCUAGAAAGCGUGGGGAGCAAACAGG
RNAcentral lists this ribosomal RNA (429 nucleotides) under Gemmatimonadota bacterium. RNAcentral's name for it is "Gemmatimonadetes bacterium partial 16S ribosomal RNA". It matches the Rfam family "Bacterial small subunit ribosomal RNA", at positions 355 to 776 of the family's 1533-position model. The record is from RNAcentral. Lineage: Bacteria; Pseudomonadati; Gemmatimonadota.